RNAcentral lists this unclassified non-coding RNA (332 nucleotides) under soil metagenome. Its description in RNAcentral is "partial contains 5.8S ribosomal RNA, internal transcribed spacer 2, and large subunit ribosomal RNA". The stretch from base 1 to 120 matches the Rfam family "5.8S ribosomal RNA", at positions 35 to 154 of the family's 154-position model. The record is from RNAcentral.
GAUGAAGAACGCAGCGAAAUGCGAUAAGUAAUGUGAAUUGCAGAAUUCAGUGAAUCAUCGAAUCUUUGAACGCACAUUGCGCCCCCUGGUAUUCCGGGGGGCAUGCCUGUUCGAGCGUCAUUUCACCACUCAAGCCUCGCUUGGUAUUGGGCAACGCGGUCCGCCGCGUGCCUCAAAUCGACCGGCUGGGUCUUCUGUCCCCUAAGCGUUGUGGAAACUAUUCGCUAAAGGGUGUUCGGGAGGCUACGCCGUAAAACAACCCCAUUUCUAAGGUUGACCUCGGAUCAGGUAGGGAUACCCGCUGAACUUAAGCAUAUCAAUAAGCGGGAGGA